GGGUUGUGAGGUUAAGCGACUAAGCGUACACGGUGGAUGCCCUGGCAGUCAGAGGCGAUGAAGGACGUGCUAAUCUGCGUAAAGCGUCGGUAAGGUGAUAUGAACCGCUACAGCCGACGAUGUCCGAAUGGGGAAACCCGGUGCACUCUGUGCAUCAUCGCAACAUGAAUACAUAGUGUUGCGAGGCGAACCUGGGGAACUGAAACAUCUAAGUACCCAGAGGAAAAGAAAUCAACCGAGAUUCCCCCAGUAGCGGCGAGCGAACGGGGAGCAGCCCAGAACCUGAAUCAGUUUGUGCAUUAGUGGAAGCGUCUGGAAAGUCGCAGGGUACAGGGUGAUACUCCCGUACACAAAAAUGCACUUACUGUGAGUUCGAAGAGUAGGGCGGGACACGUGGUAUCCUGUCUGAAUAUGGGGGGACCAUCCUCCAAGGCUAAAUACUCCUGACUGACCGAUAGUGAACCAGUACCGUGAGGGAAAGGCGAAAAGAACCCCGGCGAGGGGAGUGAAACAGAACCUGAAACCGUGUACGUACAAGCAGUGGGAGCCUGAUUUGUCAGGUGACUGCGUACCUUUUGUAUAAUGGGUCAGCGACUUAUAUUCUGUAGCAAGGUUAACCGUAUAGGGGAGCCGCAGGGAAACCGAGUCUUAACUGGGCGUUAAGUUGCAGGGUAUAGACCCGAAACCCGGUGAUCUAGCCAUGGGCAGGUUGAAGGUUGGGUAACACUAACUGGAGGACCGAACCGACUAAUGUUGAAAAAUUAGCGGAUGACUUGUGGCUGGGGGUGAAAGGCCAAUCAAACCGGGAGAUAGCUGGUUCUCCCCGAAAGCUAUUUAGGUAGCGCCUCGUGAACUCAUCUUCGGGGGUAGAGCACUGUUUCGGCUAGGGGGCCAUCCCGGCUUACCAACC
RNAcentral lists this ribosomal RNA (910 nucleotides) under Serratia fonticola. Its description in RNAcentral is "partial 23S ribosomal RNA". It matches the Rfam family "Bacterial large subunit ribosomal RNA", at positions 1 to 944 of the family's 2925-position model. Lineage: Bacteria; Pseudomonadati; Pseudomonadota; Gammaproteobacteria; Enterobacterales; Yersiniaceae. The record is from RNAcentral.